UCCUUACUUGACUAAGGCUCCGGAGGAAGCCACGGCUAACUCUGUGCCAGCAGCCGCGGUAAUACAGAGGCGGCAAGCGUUGUUCGGAAUUAUUGGGCGUAAAGAGCACGUAGGCGGCUUUGUAAGUCAGUUGUGAAAGCCUUCUGCUUAACGGAAGAACAGCAUCUGAUACUGCAAGGCUAGAGUGCGGAAGGGGAGAGUGGAACUUCUGGU
This 213-nucleotide ribosomal RNA is filed under the name uncultured Planctomycetota bacterium. RNAcentral describes it as "uncultured planctomycete partial 16S ribosomal RNA". It matches the Rfam family "Bacterial small subunit ribosomal RNA", at positions 462 to 674 of the family's 1533-position model. The record is from RNAcentral. Lineage: Bacteria; Pseudomonadati; Planctomycetota.